Molecule: ribosomal RNA, 1298 nt
Filed under: Dastarcus helophoroides
Lineage: Eukaryota; Metazoa; Arthropoda; Insecta; Coleoptera; Bothrideridae
Description: large subunit ribosomal RNA
Rfam family: Archaeal large subunit ribosomal RNA (bases 610-1298)
Source: RNAcentral
UUUAAUAAUUUUAUUAUAUUUUUAUAUUUAUUAAUUUUUUAAAUAAAUUAAUAUUGUUUUUAUUAUUGAAAUAGAAAAAAUUUAUUUAAUUAUAGAGUAUUAGUAUUGUGAAAGAAAAUUGAAAUAAUUGAAAAUUUAAAAAUAUUAAAGAAAAAUUAAUUUUUUGUACCUUGUGUAUCAGGAUUUAUUAAAUAAAAAUUAAAUAUUUAAUUUUCUCGAAUUUAAAAGAGUUAAUUAAUUAUAAAUUUUAUUGUAAAAUAAAUAUUUAUAAUAAUUAAUUAGUAAUGAAACGUUAUUCGUUUUUAAAUAUAUCUAGUUUUUUAAGAAAAAAAUUUAAUUUUUUUAUUUAUUUUUAUUAUUUUAUUUUUUUAAUUUAAUAUAAUAAAUAAUUAAAAUUUAAGGGGAUAAGCUUUUAAGUUUAUUUUUAUAAAUAAAUAUUUAUAUUUAUAAUUUAUAGGAUUAGAAAUUUCUAUUUUUAAAAUAAUGUUAUAAUUAAUUAUAAUUUUUAUAUAAUUUAUAUUUAUUUUAAAUUUUUUAUUAAAAUUUAAUUUUUAAUUUUUUAUAAUUAGUAAUAAUGAUAAAAUUAGUAUAAUUUUUUGUAUAGUUAAAUUUAUAAAUUGAGGUUAAAUUAAGGAAUUCGGCAAAUUUAUUUUUCACCUGUUUAAUAAAAACAUGGUUUUUUGAAUAUAAUUUAAAAUCAGGCCUGCCCACUGAUAUUAUUAAAUGGCCGCGGUAUUUUGACCGUGCAAAGGUAGCAUAAUCAUUAGUUUUUUAAUUGAAAGCUGGAAUGAAUGGUUUAAUGAGAAAAUAGCUGUCUCAAUUUAAUUUUAUUAAAAUUUUAUAUUUAAGUUAAAAAGCUUAAAUUAUCUUAAAAGACGAGAAGACCCUAUAGAGUUUUAUAUUAAAUAAAAUUAAAAGAUUAGGAUUAAGGUAUUUUAAUUUAAUUUAAUAUUUAAUUGGGGUGAUUAAAAAAUUUAUUAAACUUUUUUUUUAUUUUUACAUUAAUUAGUGAAUAUUUGAUCCAUUUUUUAUGAUUAUAAGAUUAAAUUACCUUAGGGAUAACAGCGUAAUUUUUUUUAAGAGUUCUUAUCGAAAAAAGAGAUUGCGACCUCGAUGUUGGAUUAAAAUUAAUAUUAGGUGUAGAAGCUUAAUAAUUAGGUCUGUUCGACCUUUAAAAUUUUACAUGAUCUGAGUUUAGACCGGUGUGAGCCAGGUCGGUUUCUAUCUUUAAAUAAAUAAAAUAUUUUAGUACGAAAGGACCAAAUAUUUGAUUAAAAAUUUUAUUUAUGAAUAAAAUU